ACUUCUGUUGCAGUUAGGUCGUUUGGAAGAUGCAGCUGAUGUUUAUAGAGGAUUACAAGAGAGAAAUCCUGAAAAUUGGGCCUAUUACAAAGGCCUGGAAAAGGCACUCAAACCAGCUAAUAUGUUAGAACGACUAAAAAUUUAUGAGGAGGCCUGGACUAAAUAUCCCAGGGGACUGGUGCCAAGAAGACUGCCAUUGAACUUUUUAUCUGGUGAGAAGUUUAAAGAAUGUUUGGAUAAGUUUCUAAGGAUGAAUUUCAGCAAGGGUUGUCCACCAGUCUUCAAUACUUUGAGGUCAUUAUACAAAGAUAAA
This is a long non-coding RNA of Neomonachus schauinslandi (Hawaiian monk seal), 313 nucleotides long. RefSeq lists it as uncharacterized. The record is from RefSeq and is a predicted model, not a curated record. The transcript has 3 exons. Lineage: Eukaryota; Metazoa; Chordata; Mammalia; Carnivora; Phocidae.